ACAGAGAAGCUUCUGGAAUGCCCACGUCAGACCUGACACGACUAUUACAACAGGGAUCCCGCCCAGGCAUCUCUUUGUGUGUGUCCUCUCGGAGCAGUGGGCCAAGAACGCUGUCAUCGGCAGAAUUGCCACCUAAGAACAUUCAGUAAGAGACUGACAGAGAUAAGGGCCCAGUUGCAUCCUUGUGUGAACGAGAUAACGGGGGUCUUCAGCACAAAGCAUGAGGAAAACCAGCUCAAGCCGUUGGAGCCUUGGCCAAACCCAGUGUACUAGGCCAAAGAUAAGUGCACGACAAGAUAGACUGCAGCCUUCAUCCAAAAGCCCCCGCCCGUGACCACCCGAAGACACUGUGCAGGCGCAACAGGAAAGAGCCAAUGCUGAAGACUAUAGAUAUAAUUCACUGGAACUAAUUUUAAUAAGGAUGGCCUUUUCAAGGAAAAAGUUAUGAAUAUGUAUAGGUGUUCCUGGAAUAACCAUGAAUAUGCAAUCCUAUACCACAUUUAACCAGGCUUGCGGCUACUGAAAACAUGCACCGUGGUGGAGCAGGAGACUCCCCGGUCGCCCAGCGCUGUUUUGCCCACUUGCCGCUUGCUGCAAUAAAUUCUAAGCAAUUUAUUUCGAUGAGUGAGUGCUAUUUAUCGUGAUCGUCUAUAACACUGUGCAUCUCCAUUGCUAUUAUUUGCUGCACCCCAAUGAUUUCCUCAACUUAUAUUAAAACCUGUAUUUAUGUUACUGGAGUGCUAACCGAUUGCAUAAAUCCCGUUCCUUACUGGUUAAUUUGCUGCACAUUUUUUACCAGAAUAAAAGUUUGUUUUGAUCCUUGUUGUCCACCUAAAACUAAUUUCGGGGUGCCUCUGUGACACAUGCCUUUCAUAAACCCAUGUUGACUGGGCCUGAUUGCAUGGUUUUCUUGUAUGUGCCGUGUGAUGUCACUCAGGAUGAUCUGCUCCAUGACCUUCCGUGGCAGUGAGGUUAGACUGACAUGUCUGUAGUUCCCCAAAUCCUCCUUCUGGUCCUUCUUGUAGAUGGUUUGGAUAGAUUCUUGGAUACAUGGAAUCCUCUGGCCUUGAAAAUGGAGCUUUCUCAGAGCCUAAAUCACUGUUUGUUCCCUGUGCCUAUUUUUGGGGCCUAUUUUCAGAGUCUUUUAGGCUGAUUGGGUUAAUUCUUUCCUUCUUGCAUAGAAAGGAUCAAUUUUCACUUCAGUUACCAAAGCUGAUUGUGUCUGUGUUCCCAGGACUUCCUGCUGAUAAACAAAGGAAUGCAACAAGUGUGAAAUGGGGUUGUCAAGUGAGAUUGAACCCAGCGGUGGUGCAUUUCAAUCAAGGCUUCAAUCUAAGUGUCAUGACUAUUAAAUUCCUGUUGCUGUCUUUAACAUGAGUACAUCUUUUGUCAGAGUACUUUCAAAAGUCAACAAAGCAAACAUUAGUCCAGAUUUAUUCUGCUGUUUUUUUUAAAAAAAAUCACAUAGUUUGCUGUCUUUAUCAUGAGUACAUCUUUUGUCAGAGUACUUUUAAAAGUCAACAUAGCAAACAUUGUUCCUGAUUUAUUCUGAUGCACUUUUUAUAAAAAUCACACAGUUUGUUCCAAAGAAAAGUAAAGCUAGUUACUUAAUUUGAAUGGAUUUUUUUCAUUUUCUGAAAGGUUAUACUUUUCCAGAUCUUGCAAUGAAUUUUUUACUUGUUUUAUCCCUUUCUGCUUUCACAUAGUAGUAUGAGACAUUGUGUUCCAUAUGACCAAAGUAUUUAUCCUAAAUAAACAAAAUAAUAAAGUAAAUAAGUAAAUAAAGUAAAACAAUAAAGUAAAAUAAUAAAGUAAAUAAAGUAAAGUAAAUAAAGUAAUAUUUCUGGUAAUUCACAUCACAUGUUCAGUUACUUUUCUGUUAUUCUAUUUUUUUCAUGUACUUAGCUUGAUGCCAUGUUCUUCCUAAAUACCGCAACUUUUAGAUUUUGACACAUUUGCUUGUAGUCUAGAUGCUGCCUUUCACCUUUGAUUGAUUAGAGUAAAUUGAUUUCUUCUAUAGUAAAUUGAAGCUUGACUACUUUAGAGUUUAUUUAUUGUGUUUCCUCAACUCUGCCUCCUGCAAGGAGUGGUCAAGAAAGUUUUUUAGUCUGAUGGGUGAUUUUAAUAGCCGUUUCUUGCAUUUUAAUCUAUGUUAUAUAGUGUAAUACCCAGGAAAGGUUUUGAAGUUUUUAGUACCACUGAGAGAACAACCUAAUUUUUGUGAAAUGGAGAAUGUCUGUUUAUUACAGUAAAUGGAGUUAUGAAUUCAUCAGUGAAUUCUUAACCUUUUAUUUGAAAGGCCUUCUGAAAAAAAGCUAAUCAAAUAAAGUUCUGUAUAUCCUUA
This is a long non-coding RNA of Columba livia (rock pigeon), 2344 nucleotides long. RefSeq lists it as uncharacterized. NCBI's taxonomy places the organism in Eukaryota, Metazoa, Chordata, Aves, Columbiformes, Columbidae. The transcript is spliced from 2 exons. The record is from RefSeq and is a predicted model, not a curated record.